This 414-nucleotide ribosomal RNA is filed under the name Triticum aestivum (bread wheat). RNAcentral's name for it is "partial small subunit ribosomal RNA". Lineage: Eukaryota; Viridiplantae; Streptophyta; Magnoliopsida; Poales; Poaceae. The record is from RNAcentral.
AUGCUUAAGAUUGAUCUAGCUAAGGCCUUCGACGGAAUUGAAGGGAACUUUAUAGAAUCAGCUCUUGCUCGAAAAGGAUUGAAUAGUCAUUUCAUUAAUAUUAUACAUGCUUGUAUCUAUUUGCCUAUGUUAUCUGUUAUUAUGAAUGGUCAGUCUUUUGGGCGUUUCAAAAACUCUAGAGGCAUUAGGCAAGGAUGCCCACUGUCACCUUCACUUUUUGUCCUUGCAGUCAAUGAGCUCUCUCUCUCUCUCUCUGACGCAUUACAAAAUAAUCACUUGUCAGGUAUUGCUCUUGGACCACAAUGUUCGCCCAUUCAUUCCCUCAUGUUUGCGGGCGACCUAUUGGUAUGUGGUAAGGCUAAUAUAUAUGCAGGAAGCUUCAACUAUAGCUCAUGUUUUACGACAUUUUCGUAA